CCGUAGAUGCAAAGAUUCAUUCUCAUUCGUAUGAGAUUCGAGGUUUUGGAUGAUAUUGUGACGUCACAUGUUUCUGUGACUAAUCAUCUGUUAUUUGAAGAAAUUGAAGUGAGGUGUAAUUAAAACUUUUAUAGAUUGGAUCGUAAGUGGCAACUUUGAUAUCUUUCAUAACAUUUUAUCAAACUUGAUAAGUUUGUGUCUCUAUCCUUGU
This 211-nucleotide long non-coding RNA is filed under the name Brassica napus (rape). RNAcentral's name for it is "long non-coding RNA (BNAP_LNC004718)". Lineage: Eukaryota; Viridiplantae; Streptophyta; Magnoliopsida; Brassicales; Brassicaceae. The record is from RNAcentral.